Molecule: long non-coding RNA, 747 nt
Filed under: Lathyrus oleraceus (garden pea)
Lineage: Eukaryota; Viridiplantae; Streptophyta; Magnoliopsida; Fabales; Fabaceae
Description: Pisum sativum (pea) long non-coding RNA (PSAT_LNC037791)
Source: RNAcentral
UUAUUAUUUAAUAUUGUUGCUUUCUAUUUUUCACUUCAUUUUGUUUCAGGAUCAGUGCUUUAUACUUUCUAAUGUUUGUUGUAACAGGAGGUUCUUAGAGAAGCAACUAAUGAUGGAAGAGAUGGAUAACAUGUUAAACUCAAAUUGGAAAUUAAAGUUAAAGAUGUAAGUGCAUAUAUCAAUGUGUUUCAUGUAUUUUUAUUAACAUUUAAUUUGUAUGCAUUUAUAAUGUAAUAAUGCAUCCAAUUCUAUCUUAUUGGAUACAUAUAUAAAUUACACUAUCAAUGCAAUAAUAAUAAUAAUAAUAAUAAUAAUAAUAAUAAUAAUAAUAAUAAUAAUAAUAAUAGGAUUUUGAGUUUAUUUCUUAGGGUUUGUUUUGUCUUGUAUCUUUUUUUUGGUUCCAGGGUGUGGAUUAUAUAAUUAACAAGGUGUUCUUUUGCGUGUUCGGACAACUAGCACCAGUAAUUCUGAGUUGUGUGAAUAUUUGAUUGAAGAAGGAUCAGAGAGAUUGAUGUUGUUGAUCGACUUAUUACUCCUAAAUUAGUUAUAUCUUUUUUACAAAUAAUUAUUUUUGCUCCUUUCUAACUUUCUUUCCCUGAUAUGGAGUCUCUGUAUUUUGCCUGUGUUGACGAUAAUAUGCUGUAUUUUUCAUGUCUAUCAUGUUAGGAAAAUUUGAUGUCUUCUUAAACCUUUUAACUCUAAGGAUCUUAUAUCUUUUAGAUCGAGGAAACAAUACUCUGUAUUUUC